ACCCCGUGGCUAGAAUUGUCGCUCAGCUUGCGAAGUGCUUUCCCAGCGUCCUGGGAGCACUGGACUGGGUUUCGGCCGCUGUGUAAACUGGGAUUGGUGGUGCAGACCUGUAAUCCUAGCACUUGGGAAGUGGAGGCAGGAGGAUCAAUAGUUCAAGUCCUCAGCUGUGUAGGCAUUUGGAGGCCAACCUGGGCCAAAUUCCCUGGGGGAAAAAAAGAUAAAUUAUAGUACAUCUGUUACCCAGUUAUUCAAAAAAAGAAAAAAAAAAGCGCCACAUAUAUUGUUAAGGAAAGAUGCUUAAAAGAUACUUUGUAAAAAUGCAUGCUUAGCACGGGCUAGCCCUUGGGUUUGAUCCCUGAAACUACAAAAAUAAGGCUUACUUAUCACUCUGUACUGCCACUGCUUCGCUGCCACAGUCCUUCGCUGACAGCAGAACCCAGCUUCUUCAAGCUUCUAACAUGGAGUGAAGACCACCAGAACUGCAGGAGGCCAGCACCACGUUGUGAUCUCUUCACACUGAAGAAGCCAGUGUUGGACUACCGGAUGACAUCCUGAAAAUCAAUCUAAUAAAUACUUUUACUGUGUAUCCAUUCUA
Long non-coding RNA from Peromyscus californicus insignis, 595 nucleotides. RefSeq lists it as uncharacterized. The transcript has 2 exons. The record is from RefSeq and is a predicted model, not a curated record. Lineage: Eukaryota; Metazoa; Chordata; Mammalia; Rodentia; Cricetidae.